Molecule: microRNA precursor, 87 nt
Filed under: Chlorocebus sabaeus (green monkey)
Lineage: Eukaryota; Metazoa; Chordata; Mammalia; Primates; Cercopithecidae
Description: miRNA (ENSCSAG00000027706.1)
Source: RNAcentral
AGAAGUGACCAAAAGACAAGAGUGUGAGCCUUUUGUUAUGCCCGAGGCAGGGCCAUCAGAGGGCUCCUUGGUCUAGUGGUAAUGCCA